RNAcentral lists this unclassified non-coding RNA (330 nucleotides) under soil metagenome. RNAcentral's name for it is "partial contains 5.8S ribosomal RNA, internal transcribed spacer 2, and large subunit ribosomal RNA". The stretch from base 1 to 120 matches the Rfam family "5.8S ribosomal RNA", at positions 35 to 154 of the family's 154-position model. The record is from RNAcentral.
GAUGAAGAACGUAGCGAAAUGCGAUAAGUAAUGUGAAUUGCAGAAUUCAGUGAAUCAUCGAAUCUUUGAACGCACAUUGCGCCCCCUGGUAUUCCGGGGGGCAUGCCUGUUCGAGCGUCAUUUCACCACUCAAGCCUCGCUUGGUAUUGGGCAACGCGGUCCGCCGCGUGCCUCAAAUCGACCGGCUGGGUCUUCUGUCCCCUAAGCGUUGUGGAAACUAUUCGCUAAAGGGUGUUCGGGAGGCUACGCCGUAAAACAACCCCAUUUCUAAGGUUGACUCGGAUCAGGUAGGGAUACCCGCUGAACUUAAGCAUAUCAAUAAGCGGAGGA